RNAcentral lists this ribosomal RNA (2904 nucleotides) under Escherichia coli. RNAcentral describes it as "23S ribosomal RNA". It matches the Rfam family "Bacterial large subunit ribosomal RNA". Lineage: Bacteria; Pseudomonadati; Pseudomonadota; Gammaproteobacteria; Enterobacterales; Enterobacteriaceae. The record is from RNAcentral.
GGUUAAGCGACUAAGCGUACACGGUGGAUGCCCUGGCAGUCAGAGGCGAUGAAGGACGUGCUAAUCUGCGAUAAGCGUCGGUAAGGUGAUAUGAACCGUUAUAACCGGCGAUUUCCGAAUGGGGAAACCCAGUGUGUUUCGACACACUAUCAUUAACUGAAUCCAUAGGUUAAUGAGGCGAACCGGGGGAACUGAAACAUCUAAGUACCCCGAGGAAAAGAAAUCAACCGAGAUUCCCCCAGUAGCGGCGAGCGAACGGGGAGCAGCCCAGAGCCUGAAUCAGUAUGUGUGUUAGUGGAAGCGUCUGGAAAGGCGCGCGAUACAGGGUGACAGCCCCGUACACAAAAAUGCACAUGCUGUGAGCUCGAUGAGUAGGGCGGGACACGUGGUAUCCUGUCUGAAUAUGGGGGGACCAUCCUCCAAGGCUAAAUACUCCUGACUGACCGAUAGUGAACCAGUACCGUGAGGGAAAGGCGAAAAGAACCCCGGCGAGGGGAGUGAAAAAGAACCUGAAACCGUGUACGUACAAGCAGUGGGAGCACGCUUCGGCGUGUGACUGCGUACCUUUUGUAUAAUGGGUCAGCGACUUAUAUUCUGUAGCAAGGUUAACCGAAUAGGGGAGCCGAAGGGAAACCGAGUCUUAACUGGGCGUUAAGUUGCAGGGUAUAGACCCGAAACCCGGUGAUCUAGCCAUGGGCAGGUUGAAGGUUGGGUAACACUAACUGGAGGACCGAACCGACUAAUGUUGAAAAAUUAGCGGAUGACUUGUGGCUGGGGGUGAAAGGCCAAUCAAACCGGGAGAUAGCUGGUUCUCCCCGAAAGCUAUUUAGGUAGCGCCUCGUGAAUUCAUCUCCGGGGGUAGAGCACUGUUUCGGCAAGGGGGUCAUCCCGACUUACCAACCCGAUGCAAACUGCGAAUACCGGAGAAUGUUAUCACGGGAGACACACGGCGGGUGCUAACGUCCGUCGUGAAGAGGGAAACAACCCAGACCGCCAGCUAAGGUCCCAAAGUCAUGGUUAAGUGGGAAACGAUGUGGGAAGGCCCAGACAGCCAGGAUGUUGGCUUAGAAGCAGCCAUCAUUUAAAGAAAGCGUAAUAGCUCACUGGUCGAGUCGGCCUGCGCGGAAGAUGUAACGGGGCUAAACCAUGCACCGAAGCUGCGGCAGCGACGCUUAUGCGUUGUUGGGUAGGGGAGCGUUCUGUAAGCCUGUGAAGGUGUGCUGUGAGGCAUGCUGGAGGUAUCAGAAGUGCGAAUGCUGACAUAAGUAACGAUAAAGCGGGUGAAAAGCCCGCUCGCCGGAAGACCAAGGGUUCCUGUCCAACGUUAAUCGGGGCAGGGUGAGUCGACCCCUAAGGCGAGGCCGAAAGGCGUAGUCGAUGGGAAACAGGUUAAUAUUCCUGUACUUGGUGUUACUGCGAAGGGGGGACGGAGAAGGCUAUGUUGGCCGGGCGACGGUUGUCCCGGUUUAAGCGUGUAGGCUGGUUUUCCAGGCAAAUCCGGAAAAUCAAGGCUGAGGCGUGAUGACGAGGCACUACGGUGCUGAAGCAACAAAUGCCCUGCUUCCAGGAAAAGCCUCUAAGCAUCAGGUAACAUCAAAUCGUACCCCAAACCGACACAGGUGGUCAGGUAGAGAAUACCAAGGCGCUUGAGAGAACUCGGGUGAAGGAACUAGGCAAAAUGGUGCCGUAACUUCGGGAGAAGGCACGCUGAUAUGUAGGUGAAGCGACUUGCUCGUGGAGCUGAAAUCAGUCGAAGAUACCAGCUGGCUGCAACUGUUUAUUAAAAACACAGCACUGUGCAAACACGAAAGUGGACGUAUACGGUGUGACGCCUGCCCGGUGCCGGAAGGUUAAUUGAUGGGGUCAGCGCAAGCGAAGCUCUUGAUCGAAGCCCCGGUAAACGGCGGCCGUAACUAUAACGGUCCUAAGGUAGCGAAAUUCCUUGUCGGGUAAGUUCCGACCUGCACGAAUGGCGUAAUGAUGGCCAGGCUGUCUCCACCCGAGACUCAGUGAAAUUGAACUCGCUGUGAAGAUGCAGUGUACCCGCGGCAAGACGGAAAGACCCCGUGAACCUUUACUAUAGCUUGACACUGAACAUUGAGCCUUGAUGUGUAGGAUAGGUGGGAGGCUUUGAAGUGUGGACGCCAGUCUGCAUGGAGCCGACCUUGAAAUACCACCCUUUAAUGUUUGAUGUUCUAACGUUGACCCGUAAUCCGGGUUGCGGACAGUGUCUGGUGGGUAGUUUGACUGGGGCGGUCUCCUCCUAAAGAGUAACGGAGGAGCACGAAGGUUGGCUAAUCCUGGUCGGACAUCAGGAGGUUAGUGCAAUGGCAUAAGCCAGCUUGACUGCGAGCGUGACGGCGCGAGCAGGUGCGAAAGCAGGUCAUAGUGAUCCGGUGGUUCUGAAUGGAAGGGCCAUCGCUCAACGGAUAAAAGGUACUCCGGGGAUAACAGGCUGAUACCGCCCAAGAGUUCAUAUCGACGGCGGUGUUUGGCACCUCGAUGUCGGCUCAUCACAUCCUGGGGCUGAAGUAGGUCCCAAGGGUAUGGCUGUUCGCCAUUUAAAGUGGUACGCGAGCUGGGUUUAGAACGUCGUGAGACAGUUCGGUCCCUAUCUGCCGUGGGCGCUGGAGAACUGAGGGGGGCUGCUCCUAGUACGAGAGGACCGGAGUGGACGCAUCACUGGUGUUCGGGUUGUCAUGCCAAUGGCACUGCCCGGUAGCUAAAUGCGGAAGAGAUAAGUGCUGAAAGCAUCUAAGCACGAAACUUGCCCCGAGAUGAGUUCUCCCUGACCCUUUAAGGGUCCUGAAGGAACGUUGAAGACGACGACGUUGAUAGGCCGGGUGUGUAAGCGCAGCGAUGCGUUGAGCUAACCGGUACUAAUGAACCGUGAGGCUUAACCUU